UAUAAGUAUAUAAAGGAACUAUUAUGGAAUUUAAGCUAUGUAUUAAAGAGAAUUAGUUAUAUAAAUAAGAUAAAGAUCUUAUAAGUAUAUAAACUCUAAGAGAAAUCUAAUACUAAACGAAGUGAAUUGAAAUAUCUUAGUAACUUCAGGAAAAGAAAUCAAAAGAGAUUCUAUGAAUAGCGUGAGCGAAAGUAGAGGAGCCUAAAAAGUAGAACGGUAUCAAAACUGUUUAAACAUUGGGGAACCUUCCUCAAAGGCUAAAUAUAAUACAUAAGCGAUAGUGAAAAGUACCAUGAGGGAACAAAAACAAAAAUAGUAGUUUUAUAAGCAGUUCGAUAAAAAGAACGUACCUUUUGCAUAAUGGGUCACCAAGUUAACAUUAGAUGCGAGCUGUAUUAGCAUGCGUAGUCAAACCGAACGUUAAAAUAACGAAUAAGUGUCUAAAGUUAGACCCGAAGCCAGGUGAUUUUACCAUAGUCAGGAUUAUAAAAGUCCGAACGGGUGAUUGUAGCAAAAAUCUCCGAAGAACUGUGGUAGGUGUAGCGAAAGACAACACUGACUUGGAUAGCUGGUUUUCUGCGAAACCUAUAAUAGUAGGCAAUUUAAAUAAACAUCUUAGCAGGUACAGAAUUUAAUCUCAGACAAGGCGUUUUAUACGUUUUAUAUUGUACAAAUUGGGGGACCAUGAAGGUUUUAUCAGUGAGUAUGUAGACUCGGAAUGGCAAAGAUGUAUUUUGAAUGAUCAGACAUAGAAUGAUAAGGUUGUAUGUCGAAAGGGAAACAGCCCAGAACAAGAGUUAAGGUUCCUAAAUUAUUAGUUGAGUGAAAUUAAGAAGGUUUUUAUUAAAGUCGACAAGGAGAUAGGCUUAGAAGCAGCCAUAAUUUUAUGACCUCGUAACAGAGCGCUUGUUAAGUUAUAAAAGCAUCGAAAAUAUAACGGAUCUAAACAAUAUACCGAAACCUUGUCCAUUAUAUAUUAUAAUAUUAUUAUUAUUAUAAUUCAAUGGGGUAGCAGAACGUUGAGCUAAAUUAUGAGUUUUAUUUUUUAAAUAGAAUGAUAACGAUUUAACUCAAGUGAGAAUGGUGACAUGAGUAACUAAAAGAAAAUUUUCCGCCUUAAGCUUAUGGAUAUAUUUAAGUAACGGCCUCUAAGUUUAUAUUAUCUAAAGAUUUAAACGAUGAGAAAAUCUUUUUUACUAAGGACGACAUUUUAGUGUAAAAUGUACUGGAAAAAUAGUAAAUAUAUUUAUAGUUAGCUUAGCUUCUAUAAAUGAAGAAUAACCGUACCUAGAAUCUGAAACAAGUAAGCUAGUAGAGAAUACGAAGGCGUAAAUGAGCUAACAAUCAUAAAGGAACUCGGCAAAUUGACUACCGUAACUUCGGAAUAAGGAGGGCUCAUUAUUCUUGAUUAAUAUCAAGUAAAGAGGAAGAAGCAUGAAAUAAUGUUGUACGACUGUUUAAUUAAAACACAGCACUCUGCUGAAAGAUUAAAAAUCUAAGUAUAGAGUGUGAUAUCUGCCCGGUGCCGGCUGGUUAACAGAGAUAAUUGAAUAUACUACUAUUUGAUGUCGACGGAAACCCCGGUUAAAGGCGGCCUUAACGUGAGGGUCCUAAGGUAGCAAAAUGCCUUGGCCGUUAAAUGAGGUCUUGCAUGAAUGGGGUAACGAUACAACAGCUGUCUCUAUGUUUGACUCAGUGAAAUUGGAAUAGCAGUGCGGAUACUGCUUACCUCUAGUUAGACAAGAAGACCCUAUGCAGCUUUACUGUCACCAAUUAUAGAUUAUGAUAGACAAUUUUCAGAUUGUAAGGUAAUUGAUUUAUGACAAUGGGAAACCUUUAUUUUUCUUUCAUAUAAAUGAAUUGGUUUAGGAGUAUAAGUAGAUUGUAAUUUAUGUGGCUUUACUGAGCCAAUUUGUUAAAUUAUAGUCUGUAUGCUUAUACUAGUAGAUCAGCCUAAUUCAACUUAUUAUAUUUAUUAUAGUAAGUACCCUUUGGUAAGGAACUAUCGCUAGGGGACAGUUUAUGUGGGGCACAGACCCUGUAAAGAGUAAACAGGAGUGUCUAAAAAUUUAUAAAUAUUUUGUUUGCUAUUUUGAAUAGUUUAACUAUUCUUAAUCAUAUACAAUUAAUUAUAUUUGCAUUUAUUGUAAAUAUAGUUAAGAUUAGGUAGGAUUUUCACUAUAUAGAAAUUAGAGAUAAUAAAGAUAUUAUGGAAACUCUUCUAAUAUCUUUUAGCUAUCUUUUAGAUAGUUAUGUUUACAAUAUCUAAAAAGCUCAACGGCUUAAUCCUGCCUUACUGUUUGAUUAUCUACAAAUCUUACAGUUGCGUAAGCAGGGCAUAGGAUCACAAGAUGCAACAAGGAAAGAUCUUGGAUUAUUGGAAAAGCUACGCUAGGGAUGUUUGUCCUUUAAUAUUUUAUAUUGUACAGUUGGCGAAAGCUAUAACUCUUGUUAC
Molecule: non-coding RNA, 2455 nt
Organism: Metarhizium robertsii ARSEF 23
Lineage: Eukaryota; Fungi; Ascomycota; Sordariomycetes; Hypocreales; Clavicipitaceae
Source: Rfam